AUUGAACGCUGGCGGCAUGCCUUACACAUGCAAGUCGAACGGCAGCAUGAUCUAGCUUGCUAGAUUGAUGGCGAGUGGCGGACGGGUGAGUAAUACAUCGGAACGUGCCCUGUUGUGGGGGAUAACUAGUCGAAAGAUUAGCUAAUACCGCAUACGACCUGAUGGUGAAAGUGGGGGACCGCAAGGCCUCAUGCUAUAGGAGCGGCCGAUGUCUGAUUAGCUAGUUGGUGAGGUAAAGGCUCACCAAGGCGACGAUCAGUAGCUGGUCUGAGAGGACGAUCAGCGACACUGGGACUGAGACACGGCCCAGAGGCCUACGGGAGGCAGCAGUGGGGAAUGUUGGGCAGUGGGCGAAAGCCUGAUCCAGCAAGGCCGCGUGUGUGAAGAAGGCGUUCGGGUUGGAAAGCAGUUUUGUCCGGAAAGAAAUGGCUCUGGUUAAUACCUGGGGUCGAUGACGGUACCGGAAGAAGAAGGACCGGCUAACUACGUG
Molecule: ribosomal RNA, 490 nt
Filed under: uncultured bacterium
Lineage: Bacteria
Description: partial 16S ribosomal RNA
Rfam family: Bacterial small subunit ribosomal RNA
Source: RNAcentral